UACGAAGGGGGCUAGCGUUGCUCGGAAUUAUUGGGCGUAAAGGGCGCGUAGGCGGCUUGAUGUGUCAAAGGUGAAAUCCCUCGGCUCAACUGAGGAACUGCCUUUGAAACUGUCUGGCUUGAGGCCGGGAGAGGGUAGCGGAAUUCCCAGUGUAGCGGUGAAAUGCGUAGAUACUGGGAGGAACACCGGUGGCGAAGGCGGCUACCUGGACCGGUUCUGACGCUGAUGCGCGAAAGCGUGGGGAGCGAACAGG
RNAcentral lists this ribosomal RNA (253 nucleotides) under uncultured bacterium. Its description in RNAcentral is "partial 16S ribosomal RNA". It matches the Rfam family "Bacterial small subunit ribosomal RNA", at positions 524 to 776 of the family's 1533-position model. The record is from RNAcentral.